UGCCAGCAGCCGCGGUAAUACAGAGAGUGCAAGCGUUAAUCGGAAUUACUGGGCGUAAAGAGCACGUAGGCGGAUUUUUAAGUUGGAUGUGAAAGCCCUGGGCUUAACCUGGGAACUGCAUCCAAAACUGGAAGUCUAGAGUAUAGUAGAGGGAAGUGGAAUUUCUGGUGUAGCGGUGAAAUGCGUAGAUAUCAGAAAGAACACCAGUGGCGAAGGCGGCUUCCUGGACUAAUACUGACGCUGAGGUGCGAAAGCGUGGGGAGCAAACAGGAUUAGAUA
RNAcentral lists this ribosomal RNA (279 nucleotides) under uncultured bacterium. Its description in RNAcentral is "partial 16S ribosomal RNA". It matches the Rfam family "Bacterial small subunit ribosomal RNA", at positions 506 to 784 of the family's 1533-position model. The record is from RNAcentral.